UGGAAGGUAGCCAAAUGGUGAGGCAGCAGUCUGUAAAUCUGUCAUAUGAUGGUUCGAGUCCAUCCCUUCUCAU
Molecule: non-coding RNA, 73 nt
Organism: Irineochytrium annulatum
Lineage: Eukaryota; Fungi; Chytridiomycota; Chytridiomycetes; Chytridiales; Chytridiaceae
Source: the annotation of a GenBank genome assembly